Molecule: ribosomal RNA, 481 nt
Filed under: uncultured bacterium
Lineage: Bacteria
Description: bacterial SSU rRNA
Rfam family: Bacterial small subunit ribosomal RNA
Source: RNAcentral
GAACGCUGGCGGCAUGCCUUACACAUGCAAGUCGAACGGCAGCACGGGAGCAAUCCUGGUGGCGAGUGGCGAACGGGUGAGUAAUAUAUCGGAACGUGCCCAGUCGUGGGGGAUAACGUAGCGAAAGCUACGCUAAUACCGCAUACGAUCUAUGGAUGAAAGCGGGGGAUCGAAAGACCUCGCGCGAUUGGAGCGGCCGAUAUCAGAUUAGGUUGUUGGUGGGGUAAAAGCCCACCAAGCCGACGAUCUGUAGCUGGUCUGAGAGGACGACCAGCCACACUGGGACUGAGACACGGCCCAGACUCCUACGGGAGGCAGCAGUGGGGAAUUUUGGACAAUGGGCGCAAGCCUGAUCCAGCAAUGCCGCGUGCAGGAUGAAGGCCUUCGGGUUGUAAACUGCUUUUGUACGGAGCGAAACGGCUUUUUCUAAUACAAGAAGCUAAUGACGGUACCGUAAGAAUAAGCACCGGCUAACUACGUG